RNAcentral lists this ribosomal RNA (457 nucleotides) under uncultured bacterium. Its description in RNAcentral is "partial 16S ribosomal RNA". It matches the Rfam family "Bacterial small subunit ribosomal RNA", at positions 338 to 795 of the family's 1533-position model. The record is from RNAcentral.
CCUACGGGAGGCAGCAGUGAGGAAUAUUGGUCAAUGGGCGAGAGCCUGAACCAGCCAAGUCGCGUGAGGGAGUACUGCCCUAUGGGUUGUAAACCUCUUUUGUCGGGGAGCAAAAGCCGGACGUGUCCGGCUGUGAGAGUACCCGAAGAAAAAGCAUCAGCUAACACCGUGCCAGCAGCCGCGGUAAUACGGAGGAUGCGAGCGUGAUCCGGAUUUAUUGGGGUUAAAGGGAGCGCAGGCGGAUUUUUAAGUCAGCGGUCAAAUCGUGGGGCUCAACCCCAUCCAGUCGGUGAAACUGGGUAUCUAGAGUGUGUGAGAGGUAUGCGGAAUGCGUGGUGUAGCGGUGAAAUGCAUAGAUAUCACGCAGAACCCCGAUUGCGAAGGCAGCAUACCGGUGCACAACUGCCGCUCAGGCACGAAAGCGUGGGUAUCGAACAGGAUUAGAUACCCAGUAGUC